UGGGGAAUAUUGCACAAUGGGCGCAAGCCUGAUGCAGCGACGCCGCGUGCGGGAUGGAGGCCUUCGGGUUGUAAACCGCUUUUGUUCAAGGGCAAGGCAGGCUUUCGGGCCUGUUGAGUGGAUUGUUCGAAUAAGCACAGGCUAACUACGUGCC
This 154-nucleotide ribosomal RNA is filed under the name uncultured bacterium. RNAcentral describes it as "partial 16S ribosomal RNA". It matches the Rfam family "Bacterial small subunit ribosomal RNA", at positions 355 to 509 of the family's 1533-position model. The record is from RNAcentral.